CUACAGCUCGGGUGGAUUUUGCUUUGUCCACCGGCCCACCAUGGGAGUGGGCACCGGGUGGACAAAAUUUCUACCUUGUCCACUCUGCCCACCCAUAGGAGUGGGCAUGCAACUUCUUUUGUUUAAUGUAAAGACUUGCAAGUACAAUCACUUGAAAAAAGCAGAUAAGCAUUUGUAAUCAAUAUUUUUACAAAAAAAGAGAUUAUAGCUAGAGUGGGCACGGGUGGGCUGCCCAUGGUGGGCAGGUGGAAAAAGCAAAAUCCACUUGGGCUGUUUAUCAUGCAUAACUAAAUUUCAAAAUGUCCGGUCCCUUUUAUGUUAUCAAAUUGUCAAAAAACAAUUGUUUUUGAAACUAUAUGUAUGCAAUAGGUACAUGCUGCAUGCAACAUUGUCAUGAUUGUAUCAUAAAAUUUAGAAAAAAGAGUUUAC
This 429-nucleotide long non-coding RNA is filed under the name Mytilus galloprovincialis (Mediterranean mussel). Lineage: Eukaryota; Metazoa; Mollusca; Bivalvia; Mytilida; Mytilidae. The record is from RNAcentral.